AAAUUAGUACAUGUAGAAAAGUUUCCUGGAAAGAAGCUCAAACAAUGAGCUCUAAGGAAUUGCGGAUAAAAUACUGGCUUCUCAGCUUGGGUUCUGGCUCUAGCCCUAUUGUCAACAAGCCACCGUGGGAGAAUAUGAAGUGAGAUCAUCAGCUAAGAGUUGAGGUUCCACAGAUGCUACUGGGGGAGAUGAAGAAGAUAUUUCUCUUAUUGCAAGAAAUGAGAAAAAUUUACUAGCAAAAUAUGAUAUGUGAUACCCCUUCCAAUUCUAGAAUUCAAUACACUUAUCUCAUUUUUCAAAGAAUUCCACAAACACUAAAUCAUAUAAAAGAUUAAACAAAGGGAGAUAACAGUUGCAGACAACUAGGAAACACUUUACGAUAGAGUGAAGAUUUGUCAGUUAAUAAAUAUGUGACCUUGGAUAAUUCA
Homo sapiens (human) is the source of this 428-nucleotide long non-coding RNA. Lineage: Eukaryota; Metazoa; Chordata; Mammalia; Primates; Hominidae. The record is from Ensembl.